This 449-nucleotide ribosomal RNA is filed under the name uncultured bacterium. Its description in RNAcentral is "partial 16S ribosomal RNA". It matches the Rfam family "Bacterial small subunit ribosomal RNA", at positions 29 to 523 of the family's 1533-position model. The record is from RNAcentral.
AGCGAACGCUGGCGGCAGGCCUAACACAUGCAAGUUGAACGAACUCUUCGGAGUUAGUGGCGGACGGGUGAGUAACACGUGGGAACGUGCCUUUAGGUUCGGAAUAACUCAGGGAAACUUGUGCUAAUACCGAAUGUGCCCUUCGGGGGAAAGAUUUAUCGCCUUUAGAGCGGCCCGCGUCUGAUUAGCUAGUUGGUGAGGUAAAGGCUCACCAAGGCGACGAUCAGUAGCUGGUCUGAGAGGAUGAUCAGCCACAUUGGGACUGAGACGCGGCCCAAACUCCUACGGGAGGCAGCAGUGGGGAAUCUUGCGCAAUGGGCGAAAGCCUGACGCAGCCAUGCCGCGUGAAUGAUGAAGGUCUUAGGAUUGUAAAAUUCUUUCACCGGGGACGAUAAUGACGGUACCCGGAGAAGAAGCCCCGGCUAACUUCGUGCCAGCCGCCGCUGUAA